This 369-nucleotide ribosomal RNA is filed under the name Strangaliodes sp. AM-2018. RNAcentral describes it as "partial 16S ribosomal RNA". The stretch from base 220 to 369 matches the Rfam family "Bacterial large subunit ribosomal RNA", at positions 2473 to 2622 of the family's 2925-position model. The record is from RNAcentral. Lineage: Eukaryota; Metazoa; Arthropoda; Insecta; Coleoptera; Curculionidae.
UUUUAAGUNNAAAAGCUUAAAUAAUAAUGGAAGACGAGAAGACCCUAUAGAGUUUUAUUAAUUUUUUUUAUGACGAAUUUUUAGGAUUAAAAUAUUUUUUUAAAAAGAAUUAAUUUGGUUGGGGUGAUUAAAAAAUUUAUUAAACUUUUUUUUUAUAUCAACAUUUAUUUAUGAAUAAAUGAUCCUUUUAUUAANAUUAAAAGAUUAAAUUACCUUAGGGAUAACAGCGUAAUUUUUUUAAAGAGUUCUAAUCGAAAAAAAAGAUUGCGACCUCGAUGUUGGAUUAAAAUAAAAUUUUGGUGUAGAAGCUAAAAAAUUUAGGUCUGUUCGACCUUUAAAAUUUUACUUGAUCUGAGUUCAAACCGGAGA